AUUGAACGCUGGCGGCAUGCCUUACACAUGCAAGUCGAACGGUAACAGGUCUUCGGACGCUGACGAGUGGCGAACGGGUGAGUAAUACAUCGGAACGUGCCCAGUCGUGGGGGAUAACUACUCGAAAGAGUAGCUAAUACCGCAUACGAUCUGAGGAUGAAAGCGGGGGACCUUCGGGCCUCGCGCGAUUGGAGCGGCCGAUGGCAGAUUAGGUAGUUGGUGGGAUAAAAGCUUACCAAGCCGACGAUCUGUAGCUGGUCUGAGAGGACGACCAGCCACACUGGGACUGAGACACGGCCCAGACUCCUACGGGAGGCAGCAGUGGGGAAUUUUGGACAAUGGGCGAAAGCCUGAUCCAGCAAUGCCGCGUGCAGGAUGAAGGCCUUCGGGUUGUAAACUGCUUUUGUACGGAACGAAAAAGCUCCUUCUAAUACAGGGGGCCCAUGACGGUACCGUAAGAAUAAGCACCGGCUAACUACGUGCCAGCCGCCGCCGUAA
RNAcentral lists this ribosomal RNA (498 nucleotides) under uncultured bacterium. Its description in RNAcentral is "partial 16S ribosomal RNA". It matches the Rfam family "Bacterial small subunit ribosomal RNA", at positions 30 to 523 of the family's 1533-position model. The record is from RNAcentral.